Molecule: ribosomal RNA, 215 nt
Filed under: Ditylum brightwellii
Lineage: Eukaryota; Bacillariophyta; Thalassiosirophyceae; Lithodesmiales; Lithodesmiaceae
Description: partial Bacterial large subunit ribosomal RNA
Rfam family: Bacterial large subunit ribosomal RNA
Source: RNAcentral
AACUGAAGCCCCGGUAAACGGCGGCCGUAACAAUAACGGUCCUAAGGUAGCGAAAUUCCUUGUCGGGUAAGUUCCGACCUGCACGAAUGGCGUAACGACUUCCCCGCUGUCUCCAACACCAACUCAGCGAAAUUGAAUUCUCCGUGAAGAUGCGGAGUACCCGCGGUCAGACGGAAAGACCCCGUGCACCUUUACUCCAGCUUUGCAGUGGUGCC